Molecule: long non-coding RNA, 1038 nt
Organism: Pollicipes pollicipes
Lineage: Eukaryota; Metazoa; Arthropoda; Thecostraca; Pollicipedomorpha; Pollicipedidae
Exons: 4
Source: RefSeq, a predicted model, not a curated record
GACCGGUUCACCUGUGUAUAAAAGUGCCGUACACAACAGAGGGACCAGCAGUCGCAGCAGUGCAAUCACUCAGCCAGCCAUGAAGAUCGUCGCUCUCCUGCUUGUGGUCUGCACCUCCGUGGCCUGGGCGAAGCCUUCGUGCAUCGAGAACAUUUGCCUGCCCACCAGUCAAGGCAGUGGGGUGGGAGCUACGGGAGAUAUCACAAGUGGCACAAGGUUUGGCAAUCUCGUCGAUUUCGUCGUCCUUACGGCCGCCCGUGUCAAGACUCUGCCCUCCAGGGCCCCUGCAGCAGCCGCAAUAGUGCAACCAUUCAGGCGGCCAUGAAGGUCGUCGCUCUCCUGCUUGUGGUCUGCACCUCCGUGGCCGGGGCGAAGCCUUUUUGCAUCGGGAGCAUCUGCCUGCCCACCAGUCAAGCCAGUGGGGAGGGGGGGGGGGGGGGGCUACGGGAGAUGUCACAAGUGGCACAAGCACUGGCCCUUUUGGCUCUAGCAAGAUUACGUCCGUCAGGGCCUCUGCAGGGGGAUCUGCCAGGGGACUGUGUGCAAACAGCUUAAGCACGGGACAAGCCUUCAACUUUAACUCACAAGAUAUCUUUGGCAAUACGGAUGAAAGUGACACUAAUGCUGUCUCAAACCAGCAAACCGGCUGCUCAGUGACUCAGUCACAGUCAUCUCGGCAUGCGUCGCAAUGGCACACAUGAACAGCUUGUUACGUCGACAGGCGUUGUGAUAUCGGACGUCGGAUGUGACAUGUGAUCGAACUGUGCAAUACAGGCUUAUCCGGACAUAGCUGAACUCUAAUGCAUUGGCACUGCCAGUGUCAGUUGAUGUAUCUCCCCAAAAGAGGCAACACAAAUAUCGUGCAAACGCCGAUAGGCUUUAGGUCAUUGAUAACUUAAAGAAUCAUCUUGAUCAUGUACUAGUGUCCACUAUAAGGACUGAAAAAUAAUUGGGAGCCUGCCAUAGCUCAUAUUUGGCUGGGAGUAAUGGGCCGAAUUUACUUAUUUUCUACACCGGAUCCGAGCUGCCGGGAACAUU